This is a long non-coding RNA of Eutrema salsugineum, 776 nucleotides long. RefSeq lists it as uncharacterized. Lineage: Eukaryota; Viridiplantae; Streptophyta; Magnoliopsida; Brassicales; Brassicaceae. The record is from RefSeq and is a predicted model, not a curated record. The transcript is spliced from 4 exons.
GCAAAAUGUUAGAAAAAGAAAUUCAAACAGAGGAGACGUCGCAAAGAUUUAGAGUAAUUCUAAAUUGGUGAAGAAAGGUGUCUCUUCCGAUGAAGGUUCAGACUUUGCUUAAUUACUCGACGUGGGCGUCGACAGAUUGUCUGAUGCUUCUUCGUCGCCUCCGAUCGGUUAUGCUAUCACUCCUCCUCCGUGGCAGGUCAUAAUGCAAGAUUAACGGAAAUAAGUUGGUUAACAGCCUACAUCUCUUACGGAAUCGAACAGGUUAAGUGGGUUAUUUAAAAAUCUCUUUCAACUUGGAGGCUGCCUCUUUCUCAUCUCUAUGUUGUUGUCAAGUCGGUUUCCGAAAAUGGGGUUCAAUCGACCAAACCUAUCAUUAAAAUUAAUGGUAUUGUAAUAUUGUUGAAGGUAAUAAACCUUACAUAUCUCUAUUAUUUUGCUUUUACUUAAAUCCAUUGGAAAUCGAAUUUGAACACCAAAUAUACAGUCAUGGCUCUAUUUUUAUGAUUAAAAAAGAAGAAACAGAUUCAUGAGUGAUAGUGUUGACAGAGAAGAGAAUUUGGCAGCUGUGGGUAUGAUUAAAAUGUGUUUUCUUAUCCUAUAUUCUUUUCAGUGCUUAGGUUUUUUGCUUCACAUUCUUCCUCUCUUGAAAUAGAGUUAGUUCAGAAGAACAAAUUUGGGAAUUCAUCAACACGAUUGACAAGGGUUUUAAGUUGAAUUAUCUUCCAAAAGAGGUCAUAUAUCAACUAUAUUCAUCCAAUAAGGCGUACAAUGAGAGC